Molecule: long non-coding RNA, 1332 nt
Filed under: Homo sapiens (human)
Lineage: Eukaryota; Metazoa; Chordata; Mammalia; Primates; Hominidae
Description: HSALNT0201399
Source: RNAcentral
CUUGGGUCUUCAGUCUCUUGCCGGACCAUACCCAUGCUCCAUGGAGUCAUUAACUAUUCCAGCUGAAUUUUUCCAACUAGUGUUCAGUUGGGUCUGCCCCAGAAUGUGUAAACCAGUUUAUGUUAACUGUUUUGCACCAUCAUGUGUGAGAUAGCACAACAGGAUGAAAAUAACUUCUCCAAGAUGUGAGAGAGAGCUGCCGCACUGCAUUCUGAAGCAUUGGCAAAGCACCUACAUUCAUGUUUAGAAGUCCUUUCCUGAGAAGAUUAAGGAUUGGAAUCAGCCACUUUGAAUAUUUAGAAACUUUUUUAAGGAAAAGUUAUUGGUAUUAAUAUGUACAAUCCUGGAGGCAGAGGGUGAACUAGAUGAUGUUUAUAAAUAGACAAGGAGGUCCCUUCAUGUUUGUGAAAUAAUCUAGGGACUGUGUAUUGAGUUCAAAUUAUUCUUUUAAUCUGUCAUUUUGGAGCCUAAUAUUUUUGAAAUUAACUAGAAAGUGGCAUCUUAAGAUCUCAGUUCUGUUUUUCCUCCUUUCUACCCUAGUUAAGGCAGAGCCCAAACAGUAUGUUUUGCUAUUACCUAAUGGGUAACCUGUAUGAACUGUUUUUACUUUGCAAUUUUUGCUCUUGUCAUUUGUAAAGUAUUUGAUUUUAAAAACCAGGUGCUCUCAUUCAGCACUACACUGGUUUCUGGGGCAGAGGUGAGGCUGCAUCUGUGUGUGGUCAGGUGAGAUGCUGAGGAGGAUGAGCUUACUGGCUCAUCACUAGAAAGAUGGGGACCCUUAUCACUAAGAUCUCAAGAAAGUGUUAUGUGAGCCUAGUUUAUAUUGGCUAGGGGUUUGAACCAUGGCCAUGUUGCAAGUUUUCUGUGACUCUCCAAAAGAGUGAUCGUGAAGAUAUCAACCAUAUGGGCAUUAUGGUAGACUAAAUAAUGGUCCCCCAAAUGCCCAUGCCCUAUUCCCCAGAACCUGUAGAAAUGUUACCUUAGAGACUUUGCAGAUGUGAUUAAGGAUCUUGAAUUGGGGAGAUUAUUAUGGAUUAUCUGUGUGGGCCUUAAAUGUCAUUGUAAGAAUCCUUAUAUGAAAGAGGCAGGGUGAGAUUUGACUAGCAGCAGAGAAAAAGAUGGGGUGGUGGCAAAAGCGAAGAAUGCAGUGAAGUGCUUUGAGGAUGGAGAAAAGGGCCACAAGCCAAAGAUGAGACCUCACUAGAAGCCAAAAAGAGGCAAAAAAAAAUGGAUCCUCCCUUCAGAACCUCCAGGGAAAAACAAGCCCUGCUGGCACCUUGAUUUAAGCCCAGUGAGAAACAUUUCAGACUUCCAACUUCCAGAACUCUGAGA